UCUCGCUUGUUUAUUGUUUUGCUUCACAGGCCAGCCAAGCCUCCGUUUCAGCGUUCUUUUACUCUUCGCGUUCGCACCGGUUGCCGGCCAUCUCGUACAACGCGGCCUGCUCGCCACCACCACCACCACCACCCCCCUCUCUCUGAACCUUUCCCCUUCCCUCACCGCAUUUCCUGCCUGCUCUUCAGCCCCCUCCACUACGCUCCUCUUUCUCGCAGCCUCCCCGCUUAAUCGCUCUCCGUCGCAUCACAAAAGAAACGAACACAGAACAAAGAAUCCAAGAAACAGGUGAAGGCUCGCAUAGUCACGCACACAAACCAAACAAGAAGGCUGAAAGGGAAAGACAGCAAAAGGAGAUUUCCGCCUGGCUGAUUGGACUCCACCGCGCCUCCUCACCCACCCACCACCCACCCCUUCCUUGCGUGUUUGUUCUGCCUUUAACACUUUUUUUUACUUCCUGCCUCUUGCGCAUAUAUAUUACUGUCUACAUAUACAUAUAUAUAUAUAUAUAUAUAUCCUGCCUUUUCUCUCUUUGCCGUUGUUGAUGUGUGCUGGGUGAUCGCAUGCCUAUCGCUGGCUGUGUGCUUGUGUGCAUUUUUUCUUAUUACUGCUCGUCUGUUUUCUCUCCACUUCCGCACGCAUUCUGUGGUGCUGCGUAUUUCGUACGAAGUCUGUCGCCUCCUGUCGCCCCUGCCCUCCUCUCCCACCACCGCUAAUCCCUUUUCGGCCGCUGUCGCACACCACUAUGCCCAUCUUCGAUAACAAAAAUGAUGAAAAGGUGCUCAAAGUCAUGAAGGCGGGGGACCUACUGCAUUACGACUAUCGCCCCGCUGAUAAGCAUUGCGGCAGUAGAGCCAAGCUUAGUGACACGUUCCGCGUGGUGCAGUGGAAUAUCGAGCGCGGCGUCAAGCUGGAUGCUAUUAUCGCGGACUUGAAGGCGCUUCACGCUGACUUCAUUGUGCUGCAGGAGCUCGACAUCAACUGUCGCCGCUCCAACUACGCAAAUGUGCCAAAAGAAAUAGCCAAGGCCCUAGAAGCCGAGCUUUACUUUGCGUGCGAAUUCCAGGAGCUUGACUCAAGCCUACGGGCCCCUGUGAACGCCGUCGGUCCGCGUUCGCAGCCGGCGCUGGAGCCGGAGACGCCACCAAACUCUGGGAGAAGCGGGAGCAGCACCCGCAAGCCGGCCAAGAACCACCACUUCCACGGCAACGCAAUCCUCAGUCGCCAUGCCACGCUGCGCGAGCCAACCGUGAUUCCGCUCACCAGCCCCUUCGUGUGGGACGAGGCGGGUGAUUGGUACAAAGAGCCGCGCCUAGGGUUCCGCAGUGCCCUGCGUGUCCGCAUUGACGCGGUAGACCGCACCUCGGUCCACAUGGCGCCACUGUACAUCUACUGCUGCCAUUUUGAAGUGUUUUGCGGGGGCCUCGCGCGUGUGAGGCAGCUCGCGGACUGCAUGGCGGACAUGCAGCGUAUCGCACACGUGUCAACAGCGUUGAACGGGGCGCGUUCGCGGCAUCCAGCCUUCCUCCUUGCCGGGGACUUAAACACCAUCGCACACGGUAUUGUGCGCUUAAGUCGGCGCUACGCAACCGAUCGACUCCGCUGGCUCAGCUUCGGCGAGGCGGAGGCGUGCUGGCUGCAGCGCAAGGUGUUAGGGCGCAACAUGCAGUUCCUGCAGGCCGGCUGCUGCCCUCUGUCGUACCACUUCCUGGCAGGCGCCGCCUCGCGUGUGCAUCAGUUCUUGUGCAACAACUCACUGGUAUGGCAGUACGUUUACGGCUUCACAAGAUCGGAACAGGAUCGCAUGUCAAAUGUGCACCUCUGUCUGUACGACCCGUCUGACAAGUUCGCCUCCAUUACGCUAGACAACCCAGCCUACUACGGCUUCGCGCGUGGAAAGCUUGACUGGAUACUGCUGAGCAAUCUGCAGCCGCGCCCAUUCCGCACCGCCCGCAACGGGGCUGAGCCGAUCGACAUCGCUCUCUUGGAGAGGAACGGCAGCAUCCUCACCACCUCCUACUCCGCCCGCUACCUCCACUCCAUCUACGACGGCUCACACGACAAGGCGUGCGAGGCGUCGGUGCAGUCUAAUGAAGCAUCAGCGGAGUGCGUGCCGCAGGACGGCUACCUUCUCUUCAACGAAAACUACACCGCCAGCGAUCACCGCGGGCUCGUCAUGACAGUGCGACAAAACAAUGGGCGACCACAAGACGUCUACCCGUCAAAAGGCGCCCCGUACACAGCCACCUGGACAGUGGUCGGCUUCUUCAUCCUGACACGUGCUGUGCCCGUCGUCGCAGUCGCGCUGGGACUCUAUCACACACACACGAUGUUGCACUGAGACAACGGCGUCGCACAUUUGUCCUCGAUGGUGGUGGAGCACCGCCGUGCAUUAUUUUUUGUUGUUUCCCUCCCCCCUCCCCCGCCCCCACAUGACACAUGUGCGGCCGUGACUCAAAUGCUCCUCAGUCACCAGAUGCGUAGCUAGGAUGUGCGCGUGCACGUAUAUCUGCGCAGCUGCGGAAAC
RNAcentral lists this unclassified non-coding RNA (2527 nucleotides) under Leishmania donovani. RNAcentral describes it as "gene:LdHU3.35.0840(CDS-product:Endonuclease/Exonu clease/phosphatase_family_putative)". The record is from RNAcentral. Lineage: Eukaryota; Euglenozoa; Kinetoplastea; Trypanosomatida; Trypanosomatidae.